CGAACGCGAACGUCCUUCGGUGGCGAGUAGAGUGGCGGACGGGUGAGUAACGCGUAGGAAUCUACCUAAGUGUGGGGGAUAACAUGAAGAAAUUCAUGCUAAUACCGCAUACGCCCCACGGGGUAAAGAGGGCCUCUUCUUGAAAGCUCUUGCAUUUAGAUGAGCCUGCGUCGGAUUAGUUUGUUGGUGGGGUAAUGGCCUACCAAGACUACGAUCCGUAGCUGGUCUGAGAGGAUGAUCAGCCACACUGGGACUGAGACACGGCCCAG
Molecule: ribosomal RNA, 269 nt
Filed under: uncultured bacterium
Lineage: Bacteria
Description: partial 16S ribosomal RNA
Rfam family: Bacterial small subunit ribosomal RNA
Source: RNAcentral